Betta splendens (Siamese fighting fish) is the source of this 128-nucleotide small nucleolar RNA. Its record names the gene SNORD22. It matches the Rfam family "Small nucleolar RNA SNORD22". From Rfam's summary of the family: U22 is a member of the C/D class of snoRNA which contain the C (UGAUGA) and D (CUGA) box motifs. U22 is encoded within the U22 snoRNA host gene (UHG) in mammals and has also been identified in Xenopus. The record is from Ensembl. Lineage: Eukaryota; Metazoa; Chordata; Actinopteri; Anabantiformes; Osphronemidae.
UCCUAAUGAUGAUCCCUGCACGCGUCUUACGCCAUGUGUUAAAGCCAGAACCUGAAAAGGUGGACCCACUGGCUUUACCUUGGCAAUAAGGGGAAGACCUGUUGGGGUUACCAACAGUCUGAUUGGAA